CCGCGUGGAGGAUGAAGGUUUUCGGAUUGUAAACUCCUUUCAGCAGGGACGAAGGCGCCUAGCGUUGACGGUACCUGCAGAAGAAGCCCCGGCUAACUACGUGCCAGCAGCCGCGGUAAUACGUAGGGGGCAAGCGUUGUCCGGAAUUAUUGGGCGUAAAGAGCACGUAGGCGGUUUGCCAAGUCAGAUGUGAAAUACCCCAGCUUAACUGAGGAACUGCAUUUGAAACUGGCAGGCUAGAGUACAGGAGAGGGAAGUGGAAUUCCUAGUGUAGCGGUGGAAUGCGCAGAUAUUAGGAAGAACACCGGUGGCGAAGGCGGCUUCCUGGACUGUUACUGACGCUGAGGUGCGAAAGCUAGGGGAGCGAACAGGAUUAGAUACCCUGGUAGUCCUAGCCGUAAACGAUGGGCACUAGGUGUAGGGAGUAUCAACUCUCCCUGUGCCGCAGCUAACGCAUUAAGUGCCCCGCCUGGGGAGUACGGUCGCAAGACUGAAACUCAAAGGAAUUGACGGGGGCCCGCACAAGCGGUGGAGCAUGUGGUUCAAUUCGACGCAACGCGAAGAACCUUACCGGGGUUUGAACUGCACGGGACACCUGCAGAGAUGUAGGGUUCCUUCGGGACUCGUGUAGAGGUGCUGCAUGGCUGUCGUCAGCUCGUGUCGUGAGAUGUUGGGUUAAGUCCCGCAACGAGCGCAACCCUCGCCUCCUGUUGCCAGCAG
Molecule: ribosomal RNA, 720 nt
Filed under: uncultured bacterium
Lineage: Bacteria
Description: bacterial SSU rRNA
Rfam family: Bacterial small subunit ribosomal RNA
Source: RNAcentral